GACGAACCGUGCAAACGUUGUUCGGAAUCACUGGGCUUAAAGGGCGCGUAGGCGGGCGGGCAAGUCAGGGGUGAAAUCCCACGGCUCAACCGUGGAAGUGCCUUUGAUACUGCUCGUCUGGAGGGAGGUAGGGGCGUGCGGAACUUCCGGUGGAGCGGUGAAAUGCGUAGAUAUCGGAAGGAACACCGGUGGCGAAAGCGGCGCGCUGGACCUCUACUGACGCUGAGGCGCGAAAGCCAGGGGAGCAAACGGG
Molecule: ribosomal RNA, 253 nt
Filed under: uncultured bacterium
Lineage: Bacteria
Description: partial 16S ribosomal RNA
Rfam family: Bacterial small subunit ribosomal RNA
Source: RNAcentral